This 253-nucleotide ribosomal RNA is filed under the name uncultured bacterium. RNAcentral's name for it is "partial 16S ribosomal RNA". It matches the Rfam family "Bacterial small subunit ribosomal RNA", at positions 524 to 776 of the family's 1533-position model. The record is from RNAcentral.
UACGGGGGGGACAAGCGUUGUUCGGAAUUACUGGGCGUAAAGGGCGCGUAGGCGGGCCUUCAAGUCGGGUGUGAAAGCUGGCGGCUUAACCACCGGAUUGCAUUCGAUACUGUUGGGCUUGAGUACAGGAGAGGAGGGCGGAAUUCCAGGUGUAGCGGUGAAAUGCGUAGAUAUCUGGAAGAACACCAGUAGCGAAGGCGGCUCUCUGGCCUGAUACUGACGCUGAGGCGCGAAAGCGUGGGUAGCGAACAGG